GAGCCUAGGUGGUCUAAUGGUAAGGCGCUUGUAAGUACCUCUAGACCUUCAUCGGGGUGAGCUAACAUUUGGGUUGGCAAUAACUUUGAAAGGAGUGUGGAGACUCGAGAGAUCCGGGUUCGAAUCCCGGCCUAGGCAC
This 139-nucleotide transfer RNA is filed under the name Penicillium salamii. RNAcentral describes it as "tRNA-Undet". It matches the Rfam family "tRNA". Rfam says of the family: Transfer RNA (tRNA) molecules are approximately 80 nucleotides in length. Their secondary structure includes four short double-helical elements and three loops (D, anti-codon, and T loops). Lineage: Eukaryota; Fungi; Ascomycota; Eurotiomycetes; Eurotiales; Aspergillaceae. The record is from RNAcentral.